UCCUACGGGAGGCAGCAGUAGGGAAUUUUCCGCAAUGGGCGAAAGCCUGACGGAGCAACGCCGCGUGAGGGAUGAAGGUCUUCGGAUCGUAAACCUUUGUCUAGAGGGACGAUAAUGACGGUACCUCUGGAGGAAGCCACGGCUAACUACGUGCCAGCAGCCGCGGUAAUACGUAGGUGGCGAGCGUUGUCCGGAAUUACUGGGCGUAAAGGGCGUGUAGGCGGCCUUUUAAGUCAGACGUGAAAACCCUGGGCUUAACCCAGGACCUGCGUUUGAUACUGAAGGGCUUGAGGACCGGAGAGGACAGUGGAAUUCCCAGUGUAGCGGUGAAAUGCGUAGAUAUUGGGAGGAACACCAGUGGCGAAGGCGACUGUCUGGACGGCACCUGACGCUGAGGCGCGAAAGCCAGGGGAGCAAACGGGAUUAGAUACCCCGGUAGA
RNAcentral lists this ribosomal RNA (440 nucleotides) under uncultured bacterium. RNAcentral's name for it is "bacterial SSU rRNA". It matches the Rfam family "Bacterial small subunit ribosomal RNA", at positions 337 to 794 of the family's 1533-position model. The record is from RNAcentral.